This 202-nucleotide ribosomal RNA is filed under the name uncultured bacterium. RNAcentral's name for it is "partial 16S ribosomal RNA". The stretch from base 26 to 202 matches the Rfam family "Bacterial small subunit ribosomal RNA", at positions 549 to 777 of the family's 1533-position model. The record is from RNAcentral.
CACAGGUGGGAUUGCGUUUUAAAAUAUUGAAUAGGCAUUAAGUGUGAUUAGGUGCCAUGGGCUAGAGUUCUAAGAGGAGAGUUAGAGGAAUAACCAAAGGAAGGAUGAAAUCUAUAGAUAUUGGUUGGAACAUCAAGUAGCGACAGCAUCACUCUAUUUUAGGACUGACACUGAAUCACUAAAGUGUGGGGAGCAAACCGGA